AUUUCGAGUCGAACGACUAGUCGCGACUAGUCGUCGACUAGUCGACGAGUCGUUACAUGAAGGUUGACUCAACCUGUCGACUCGAAUCAUUGGAUGAGUCGAGCGACUUGAUCGACUAGUCCCGACUAGUCUCGACUAGUCGCGGUUUUUGAGUCGAACGACUCGAUCAACCUGUGAUAGAAGAGGAGUUGGGCGUAGAAAACGGAGCAGAGAAGGAUGGGGGAGGCGGAGAGGAAGGGGCGAAGGCAGAGAAGCCAUGGAAGAGGAGCUGCAGCAAGGCCAUUGCGGCUGUCGAUUCGUUCCUGGAGGCUGGAAGGGGAGCAGGUGAGAGAGAGAGAGAAAGAAGAGAGUGGAUGGACGGUGAAGAUUAGAGAAUAUAGAUGGUUCAGAUUGAGCUAGGCAGGCUAGGGUUUCAUUGGGCCUUAUUGGGCUAAUAUUGCUUCUGGGCCAAUAUUGAAGGAAGAUUGGAGCGUCUGGAAACCUAGAUCGAACAGUUCCACUCCCCUCCCCCGACCCAGCUCUCUUCUGCAGCAGCCGCUGCCGCUGGCUGGCUGCUCGUCCCCUUCUCCCCUGGUUGCUGCUGCUCAUCCCUUGGUUGCUGCUACUGCAGGUCUGCCCCUCCCAUCUCUUGCUGCUGCGGCUCCCCCCUUAGUUGCCGCUGGUCUGCUCCCUACUACUUAACUCACGUCGACUCAUCGCAUGUCGACUCGUCGACCAUGAGUCAUGACUAGUCACGACUAGUCUAGAGUCGCCCCCCCCUGAGCGACUCGCCGACUCAUCGACUCAAAAACCUUGGGUCUCAGCAGCCGCCCUCACCUCCCUCUCUCUCCAACCAGCCCCGCUCUCCUCUCGCAUCACACAGGCGGCGGCUCAACAUAUGCUGCCGGGUGUGGCAUAUGUGGCAUCUGUGUUGUGCUUCGGCCGGCUGGUUGUGUGUGAUGUGUGCGGCUGGAUGUGCGUCCGUGUUUAUGUGUGUGGAGGAAGUCGAUGGUUGCAGGCAGAGGAAGCUGCUGGUUGCUGGCAGAGGAGGAUUAUGAUAGUUCCCUUGCUCUUUGCCAGAAAAAUUGAUAUUUCUCUUGAUUUGUUCUAGUCUGGAUUAGUACAAAAGUGCACUGAUAUUUGCUUUGUGGUGCAGGAGUUUCAAGACAGCAGGUUUAGCAGGGAUCAAUUGCAACCUUCGUUUAUCUUCUGUUAUGUGAACCAAUUUGUGAUGGCUUCUAAAAGCACAUGGCUGGUACAGAGCAAUUUUUACAUCAGAGCCGUCGUUUCUGUCGACUUCGCCGCCGUCGACUUCGCCGCCGUCGACUUCGCCGCAAGACAAUCUGCCAUCGCCUCCGCCGACUUUGCCGUAAGAUCAUCAGCCGUCGCCUGAACGUACUUUGGCGCAGGAACCUGAAGGAAAGCGGCAACAAAAGCAAGAUCCAAAGGCGCAGUCGUGCAAGGUCGAACCAUCCAUAAAGAUCCUCUUCCUACAGCUAUGACAACUGUGGCAAGACCUUUGUUAAUGUGGCUGACUUGAGGAAGCAUGCUCAUGUACAUGGCGAGAGAUGCAAUAUGUUUUUUCAGGAGCCUGGCUAUUUGAAGCUUGACGAUGCCGUGGUCGCCCCACCUAUCAAAUCCCCGCACACACGCAACAACUCAACUCUAUGGUUUGUACACCACCACCGCUUGAGCAGCCCGGCGAACGAUUUAGGUAAUGUAUCUGUAUAAUAUAAUCCUCCAUUACCAUGCACAAAGACUUCGAUUUAAUUUUAGAUCAGUUUAGUUCAGCGUGGUGAUGCUCAGCAUAAUAAGGUGUUGUGUUGUUAUAUUGAAAUAAAUGAUUCAGCAGAGGUGAAUGGUCUCUCUGACUGAUGUUGCCAGUUGCAUCACAUACUUGCUAGCUUCCCAAAUGCAGUAAGCAAUGAGUAAUUUCCAAAUGUAGCAGUGAAGACACUCAUUUUCAGAGCAGCUAUACUCACAUGUGCCCUGAACCAUUUAAUUGCUUUAAUUCCUGAACAAAUGUAGGUUGGUUCUCUUGCUUUUUACCAUGGUAACUUUGUAAACAUCAGAAGGCCUAAAUUUGGCAGCACACUCACUCGCUCAACAAUGAGCACUGGAGUCUAAAGCUUUGCUAUUGGCUGAAGAACAUCAAGGUCUUCAUUACAUGAUUAUUAGUUUCUUAAAUAUUUGUAUAACGUCAGAGUACUUUUUAGUUACAGAUUUGGCAAUACCCAGGACAUUAUUCUCCAGUCCAACUAUUGGCUUUCAAGGUGGCAGUGUGAGACAUUGUCGCUAUCACAGGAUCAUGUGGCAACGUAUUUGGUUUUUUGUUGAAAUAUGAUGGAGAUGGCUCGUGACUGCCACUCUCAUACCAAAUACUUUGAUGAUGAUACCUACUGGCGGGGAGGGGGGGGGGGGGGUCAAAAUGCAGUAGUUGCAAACAUGAGUGAAGAUGACUGUACGUGGCAUAUGUAUGAUAUUGUCAAAGAAAGUGAUUGGCAUGGCAAGUUUACGUGAGAAACAGUUAAAGAAAUUGCAUGGAAGAUGUUUCAAGAGUAAAGUCAAUGUGUGAGAGAAGAUUGAUGAGCACCAAUAUUAUAUAGUGUAUCAUACUUUUAUAUAUUUGUCAUAAAGAAAAUACUUUGUUCUUUUCUGAUCU
This is a long non-coding RNA of Triticum aestivum (bread wheat), 2641 nucleotides long. RefSeq lists it as uncharacterized. The transcript is spliced from 4 exons. NCBI's taxonomy places the organism in Eukaryota, Viridiplantae, Streptophyta, Magnoliopsida, Poales, Poaceae. The record is from RefSeq and is a predicted model, not a curated record.